Molecule: unclassified non-coding RNA, 275 nt
Filed under: uncultured Inocybe
Lineage: Eukaryota; Fungi; Basidiomycota; Agaricomycetes; Agaricales; Cortinariaceae
Description: sequence contains ITS1, 5.8S rRNA gene, ITS2
Source: RNAcentral
GGAAGGAUCAUUAUUGAAUAAACUUGCACAGGCUGUUGCUGGCCUUCUUUCGGGAGGGUAUGUGCACGCUUGUCAUCUUUAUCUCUCCAACUGUGCACAUAUUGUAGACCUGGUUGAUUCAUUUCGAGUUGGGACUGCUGUGCUUUGUAAAUCAGAGUCGGCUUUCCCUUUUCAUUUCCAGGUCUAUGUCAUUUUCACAAACUCUUGAAUGCGUUUAGAAUGUUGAAUCCAGGUGCUUUUGUACCUAUAAAGUUAAAUAUACAACUUUCAGCAAC